UACGAAGGGUGCAAACGUUGCUCGGAAUCAUUGGGCGUAAAGCGCACGUAGGCGGCUUGCCAAGUCGGACGUGAAAUCCCUCAGCUCAACUGAGGACGUGCAUCCGAAACUGGCGAGCUUGAGUACUGAAGAGGAUCGCGGAAUUCCCGGUGUAGAGGUGAAAUUCGUAGAUAUCGGGAGGAACACCAGUGGCGAAGGCGGCGAUCUGGGCAGAUACUGACGCUGAGGUGCGAAAGCGUGGGGAUCAAACAGG
This 253-nucleotide ribosomal RNA is filed under the name uncultured bacterium. RNAcentral describes it as "partial 16S ribosomal RNA". It matches the Rfam family "Bacterial small subunit ribosomal RNA", at positions 524 to 776 of the family's 1533-position model. The record is from RNAcentral.